This 436-nucleotide ribosomal RNA is filed under the name uncultured Saccharofermentans sp. RNAcentral describes it as "partial 16S ribosomal RNA". It matches the Rfam family "Bacterial small subunit ribosomal RNA", at positions 341 to 792 of the family's 1533-position model. Lineage: Bacteria; Bacillati; Bacillota; Clostridia; Eubacteriales; Oscillospiraceae. The record is from RNAcentral.
ACGGAAGGCAGCAGUGGGGAAUAUUGGGCAAUGGGCGCAAGCCUGACCCAGCAACGCCGCGUGAAGGAUGAAGGUCUUCGGAUUGUAAACUUCUAUAAUCGGGGAAGAAAAAAAUGACCUACCCGAAGAAUAAGCCACGGCUAAAUAUGUGCCAGCAGCCGCGGUAAUACGUAGGUGGCAAGUGUUAUCCGGAUUUACUGGGUGUAAAGGGCGUGUAGGCGGCUCCGCAAGUCAGAAGUGAAAUUCCCGGGCUCAACCUGGGCACUGCUUCUGAAACUGCAGAACUUGAGUACUGGAGGGGAAAGCGGAAUUACUAGUGUAGCGGUAAAAUGCGCAGAUAUUAGGAGGAACACCGGUGGCGAAGGCGGCUUUCUGGACAGUAAAUGACGCUGAGGCUCGAAAGCGUGGGGAGCAAACAGGAUUAGAUACCCUGGUA